UGCCCGCGGCCUGUUGACCUCAGAGCCCCUUCUCCAGGCCAGCAACCAUCUCCCUUGUCGUCGUCGGAUUCCGAUGAGAGCGGGGAAGCCGGAAGCUCCCGCACCACGGCGCUGAAAGCCCCUACAGUGGUCGUAAACCACCUGAAUCCCUCGCCGGACUCCAGAGAGGUUCGCGAAUCCGACAUUGGAAGAGGCCAGAAGAAAGCCGACCGCUCCUCAUGCGGCUCCAAUACUCCUUCCAGCAGUGAUGUGGAGACAGACGUCGUAUUGAACCUCGACAAGGCCAUGGAGGAGCCGAAAGAAACCCAUCUGGGUCAUCUUCCUUCCGGCGGGGACGCCAGCAACCGUAGGCUGAGGGGCGGCGGCAGUGUGGGUGAAUCUUGGAAAGAAGUCUCCCAAGAGG
This 403-nucleotide long non-coding RNA is filed under the name Spirodela polyrhiza (greater duckweed). RNAcentral's name for it is "long non-coding RNA (SPOL_LNC000350)". Lineage: Eukaryota; Viridiplantae; Streptophyta; Magnoliopsida; Alismatales; Araceae. The record is from RNAcentral.